ACGGGUGUAGCUCAAUUGGCAGAGCACCGGAUUCCAAAUCCGGCGGUUGGGGGUUCGAGUCCCUCCGCCCGUG
RNAcentral lists this transfer RNA (73 nucleotides) under Planctomycetota bacterium. RNAcentral's name for it is "Planctomycetes bacterium (hydrothermal vent metagenome) tRNA-Trp". It matches the Rfam family "tRNA". Rfam says of the family: Transfer RNA (tRNA) molecules are approximately 80 nucleotides in length. Their secondary structure includes four short double-helical elements and three loops (D, anti-codon, and T loops). Lineage: Bacteria; Pseudomonadati; Planctomycetota. The record is from RNAcentral.